RNAcentral lists this ribosomal RNA (650 nucleotides) under uncultured archaeon. RNAcentral describes it as "bacterial SSU rRNA". It matches the Rfam family "Archaeal small subunit ribosomal RNA", at positions 55 to 704 of the family's 1478-position model. The record is from RNAcentral.
UAGUCGCACGGGUUUAGACCCGUGGCAGAUAGCUCAGUAACACGUGGCCAAUCUGCCCUGNUGAACUGAAAUAAUCUCGGGAAACUGAGGCUAAUGCCAGAUACGGCUCCUCGNCUUGGAAUGGUGUGAGCCCGAAACGCUUCGGCGUCACAGGAUGUGGCUGCGGCCGAUUAGGUAGACGGUGGGGUAACGGCCCACCGUGCCGAUAAUCGGUACGGGUUGUGAGAGCAAGAACCCGGAGACGGAAUCUGAGACAAGAUUCCGGGCCCUACGGGGCGCAGCAGGCGCGAAACCUUUACACUGCACGGAAGUGCGAUAAGGGAACCCCAAGUGCGAGGGCAUACAGUCCUCGCUUUUCUGGACCGUAAGGAGGUCGAGGAACAAGAGCUGGGCAAGACCGGUGCCAGCCGCCGCGGUAAUACCGGCAGCCCGAGUGAUGGCCGAUCUUAUUGGGCCUAAAGCGUCCGUAGCUGGCCGCACAAGUCCAUCGGAAAAUCCACCCGCCCAACGGGUGGGCGUCCGGUGGAAACUGUGUGGCUUGGGACCGGAAGGCGCGACGGGUACGUCCGGGGUAGGAGUGAAAUCCCGUAAUCCUGGACGGACCGCCGAUGGCGAAAGCACGUCGCGAGGACGGAUCCGACAGUGAGGGA